This is a long non-coding RNA of Pan troglodytes (chimpanzee), 1429 nucleotides long. RefSeq lists it as uncharacterized. The record is from RefSeq and is a predicted model, not a curated record. Lineage: Eukaryota; Metazoa; Chordata; Mammalia; Primates; Hominidae. The transcript has 3 exons.
CCAAUGAAAUCUUCAAGAAUUAGGAGGAGGAGCCAAGAUGACCGAAUAGGAACAGCUCCAGUCUACAGCUCCCAGCAUGAGUGACACAGAAGACGGGUGAUUUCUGCAUUUCCAUCUGAGAUAUUGGGGAAGGCUGAAAUGUGGCUCAUUCAACUGUACUGGGAUUUUGAAUUUCUUUGCCCACCCUUACCAAAUGUCGAUUUUGUGGGGGAACUCCACUGUAAACCAGCCAAAACCCUGCCUAAGUGGUGAACCAAGAUGGCUGAACAGGAACAGCUCUGGUCUGCAGCUCCCAGCAUGAUCAAUGCAGAAGAUGGGUGAUUUCUGCAUUUUCAACUGAGGUACCUGGUUCAUCUCACUGGAACUGGCUGGACAGUGGGUGCAGCCCACGGAAGGCAAGCUGAAGCUGGGCGGGGCAUCACCUCACCCCGGAAGUGCAAGGAGUUGGGGGAUUUCCCUUUCCUAGCCAGGGGAAGCUAUGACAGACUCUACCAGGAAAAUCAGGACACUCCCACCUUAAUACUGCACUUUUCCAAUGGUCUCAGCAAACAACACACCCAGGAGAUUACAUCCCAUGCCUGGCUCAGUGGGUCCCAUGCCCAUGGAGGCUCACUCACUGCUAGCACAGCAGUCCGAGAUCCAACUGCAAGGAGGCAGACUGGCUGGGGGAGGGGCAUUCGCCAUUGCUGAGGCUUGAGUAGGUAAACAAAGCAGCCAGGACGCUUGAACUGGGUGGAGCCCACCACAGCUCAAGGAGGCCUGCCUACCUCUGUAGACUCCACCUUUGGUGGCAGGGCAUAGCUGAACAAAAGGCAGCAGAAACUUCUGCAGACUUAAACAUCCCUGUCUGACAGCUCUGAAGAGAGCAGUGGUUCUCCCACCAUGGUGUUUGAGCUCUGAAAUGGACAGACUGCCUCCUCAAGUGGGUCUCUGACUCCUGGGUAGCCUAACUGGGAGACACUUCUGAGUAGGGGCCAACUGACACCUCAUGCAGCCAGGUGCCCCUCUGAGAUGAAGCUUCCAGAGGAAGGAUCAGGCAGCAAUGUUUGCUGUUCUACAAUACUUGCUGUUGAUCUUUUCAAAAAACCAGCUCCUGGAUUCAUUGAUUUUUUUGAAGGGUUUUUUUGUGUGUCUCUAUCUCCUUCAGUUCUGCUCUAAUCUUAGGUAUUGCUUUGCCUUCUGCUAGGUUUUGGGUCAUGAAAUCCUUGCCUAAGCCAACGUCUAGAAGGGUUUUCCCAGUGUUACCUUCUAGAGUUAGAGUUUCAGGUCUUAGGUUUAAGUCUUUAAUCCAUUUUGAGGUGAUUGUUUUAUAAGGUGAGAGAUAAGGAUCCAGUUUCAUUCUCCUACAUGUGGCUAGCCAAUUAUCCCAGUACCGGGUGUCCUUUCUCCACUUUAUGUUUCUGUUUACUUCACAAAGAUCAGUUGGCUG